RNAcentral lists this ribosomal RNA (211 nucleotides) under uncultured bacterium. RNAcentral's name for it is "partial 16S ribosomal RNA". It matches the Rfam family "Bacterial small subunit ribosomal RNA", at positions 1289 to 1500 of the family's 1533-position model. The record is from RNAcentral.
CAGUUCGGAUGUAGUCUGCAACCCGACUACAUGAAGCUGGAAUCGCUAGUAAUCGCGAAUCAGAAUGUCGCGGUGGAUACGUUCCCGGGUCUUGUACACACCGCCCGUCACACCAUGGGAGUCGGAAAUGCCCGAAGCCAGUGACCUAACCGAAAGGGAGGAGCUGCCGAAGGUGGAGCCGGUAACUGGGGUGAAGUCGUAACAAGGUAGC